Lagenorhynchus albirostris (white-beaked dolphin) is the source of this 640-nucleotide long non-coding RNA. RefSeq lists it as uncharacterized. The transcript has 3 exons. The record is from RefSeq and is a predicted model, not a curated record. Lineage: Eukaryota; Metazoa; Chordata; Mammalia; Artiodactyla; Delphinidae.
GCAGGCGCAGCGGCCAUGGCUCACGGGCCCAGCCGCUCCGCGGCACGUGGGAUCCUCCCCGACCGGGGCACGAACCCGUUUGCCCUGCAUCGGCAGGUGGACUCUCAACCACUGCGCCACCAGGGAAGCCCUAUCUCUGAUUUUAAGCGUAUGACCGAGGUGGAGGGUUGCUGUUGGGGUCCUGGCUGGUUACAGUAGGGCUGGCAUUUCCUCAUUUUGGUAAACUUUCAGGUUGACAAAUGUAAUUAAAGAAAACAGCCUAGAUGCCCUAUGAAAUAAACCGCUGUAAGAACAAAGACCAGGGAUGUGGAAGCGAUGUGAUCAAAGCCUAAUGCGCUCCCAAGAGAACUGAAGUGUCAGCAAGGUUUGUGCUGGUUGUUCAUAAAAUAAGCAGUUAUGUGUUUAAGGGAAAAAUCUGCCUGGGACAUCAAAGUCUUCACAGACCGCAAGUUGUAACAGAGUAUCUUUUGAAUGUAGCGGAAAUUGUGUGUCCUGAAAAGACGGAAGCCCGGGCAAAUGUAAGCAUAACUGGAAAUGCUGUUGUUCAAUGUCCUGGAAAUAUGGCUAGGAAACGAAAAGAUAAAUUGUGUGAAAAGUUUUAAACAUUGUGACGUUUGCUAUUACAGCUGAUGAGGUUACA